This 1499-nucleotide ribosomal RNA is filed under the name Tropicibacter naphthalenivorans. RNAcentral describes it as "bacterial LSU rRNA". It matches the Rfam family "Bacterial large subunit ribosomal RNA", at positions 13 to 1477 of the family's 2925-position model. The record is from RNAcentral. Lineage: Bacteria; Pseudomonadati; Pseudomonadota; Alphaproteobacteria; Rhodobacterales; Roseobacteraceae.
GAAGGGCGUUUGGUGGAUGCCUUGGCAGCAAGAGGCGAUGAAGGACGUGAUACUCUGCGAUAAGCCAUGUGGAGCCGAGAAUAGGCUUUGAUACAUGGAUCUCCGAAUGGGGCAACCCACCUGACAGUUUGUUAUAAUUACCGCAAGGUAGCUUAUAACGGGCUGAAACAGGUACUUCUUACCUGAAUACAUAGGGUUUGAAGAGCAAACCCGGGGAACUGAAACAUCUAAGUACCCGGAGGAAAGGAAAUCAAUUGAUACUCCCCUAGUAGCGGCGAGCGAACGGGGACCAGCCGAGCCAGAUGAGUGAUCAGAAUGUGUUGGGAAGCACAGCCAUAGUGGGUGACAGCCCCGUAUGAGAAGCUCUGAUGGACGUAUUAAGUAGGGCGGGACACGUGAAAUCCUGUCUGAAGAUCGGAGGACCACCUUCGAAGGCUAAGUACUCCUUGCUGACCGAUAGCGAACCAGUACCGUGAGGGAAAGGUGAAAAGCACCCCGACGAGGGGAGUGAAACAGUACCUGAAACCGAACGCCUACAAUCAGUCGGAGGGACCUCGAGUCCUGACGGCGUACCUUUUGUAUAAUGGGUCAUCGACUUGGUCUAUCUAGCAAGCUUAAGCCGUUAGGUGUAGGCGCAGCGAAAGCGAGUCUUAAUAGGGCGUCGAGUUAGAUGGAUCAGACCCGAAACCGAGUGAUCUAGGCAUGACCAGGAUGAAGGUAAGGUAACACUUACUGGAGGUCCGAACCCACACCUGUUGAAAAAGGUCGGGAUGAGUUGUGCCUAGGGGUGAAAGGCCAAUCAAACUCGGAGAUAGCUGGUUCUCCGCGAAAUCUAUUUAGGUAGAGCGUCAUCCGAAUACCCCGGGGGGUAGAGCACUGGAUGGGUAAUGGGGCCCCACAGGCUUACUGAUCCUAACCAAACUCCGAAUACCCGGGAGUACUAGAUGGCAGACACACUGCGGAUGCUAACGUCCGUAGUGGAGAGGGAAACAACCCUGACCUACAGCUAAGGCCCCCAAUUCAUGGCUAAGUGGGAAAGCAGGUGGGACGACCAAAACAACCAGGAGGUUGGCUUAGAAGCAGCCAUCCUUUAAAGAUAGCGUAACAGCUCACUGGUCUAAAUAAGUUGUCCUGCGGCGAAGAUGUAACGGGGCUCAAGCCAUGAGCCGAAGCUUAGGAUGCGCAUAGCGCAUGGUAGCGGAGCGUAGUGUGACAUAGAACUCUGUCUCUUUAGCCUUCCUCGGAAGGCGUUAGAGACAUGAGUUCUUUCGAAGAAGCCGGGCUGUAAGGCAUCCGGUGGAGAGAUCACUAGCGAGAAUGAUGACAUGAGUAGCGACAAAGAGUGUGAGAGACACUCUCGCCGAAAGUCCAAGGGUUCCUGCUUAAAGCUAAUCUGAGCAGGGUAAGCCGGCCCCUAAGGCGAGGCCGAAAGGCGUAGUCGAUGGGAACCAGGUUAAUAUUCCUGGGCCGUGUGGUGGUGACGGAUCGUGGCGACGCAU